Molecule: long non-coding RNA, 936 nt
Organism: Caretta caretta (loggerhead turtle)
Lineage: Eukaryota; Metazoa; Chordata; Testudines; Cheloniidae
Source: RefSeq, a predicted model, not a curated record
CUUGCCCAAAGUCCCACAGGAAAAGGAAAACAACCAGCAAUGGAACCAAUAGGAAACCCAGCACUGGAACUCAGGAAUCCUGACUCCCAAUCCCCUGGUCCAGUCCCUGUCAAAGGCAGGGGGAACGGACAUGAGGGCCUGGUUAUAAUUGCCAGCUCUGGGAGGGAGUGUGCAGCAGUGGUUAGUGAAGGGGCCAGGAAAUAAGGACUGCUGGGUCCCAUCCAUGGCUCUGACACUUGGGGUGACCCUGAGCAAGUAGCUUCCCCUCCCCAGGCCUGUUUCUCAUCAGCCGGGUUGGGGUCGCAGUCCCUACAGCCCAGGGGGGCUGGGAGGCUCCAGGAAGGUGUGUAAAGUGCUGGGAUGUCAGGAUCCUGGAGGCGCUGUCACCUCCGCCCUAGGGCAGUGUUCUGCACCCCCUGCUGCAGGCCGAGUUUCUCCGUCCCUUGGCAAUAAGACAGACUCUUGUUUUCACAGCCAGUCGACCACCCAGUGUCAUCACCCUGUCUGCUGGCUGGGCAGGGUAACUCCUCAGGUCACCACUACCCUCUUCAGCCUGCCUUGGGCUUGGAGAGUGAGGAGAAGAGUGAGGGACAACACUGAACAUCCGCCAUUGAUCGCUCCGUCACCUAGAGCAAGGACUGCCAGGGUCUCAGAGGAGGAGGAGGAGGAACGGGUGGACAUGGUCACAGAGGAGGCUGCUCUCAAAAACAUCCAAGAGCAGCUCCAGGGCCGAGAAAAGGAGCUCAUUGAGGAGCUUCCUGAUGACUCUCCACCGGGCGCCGUCCUGGCCAACUCCCUGAUUGCUGUGGGCAACCUCAGCACCUGCCCUGGACACCUGCCCUGACACCUGCCCUGGAGCCGGAGCUGGAGACCCACCUCCUUCGCGCUGCCCUUCUUGCCGUGUUCACGCUGGGCACGGAGAAGGAUGCCACCCAA